RNAcentral lists this ribosomal RNA (467 nucleotides) under uncultured bacterium. Its description in RNAcentral is "partial 16S ribosomal RNA". It matches the Rfam family "Bacterial small subunit ribosomal RNA", at positions 28 to 506 of the family's 1533-position model. The record is from RNAcentral.
GACGAACGCUGGCGGCGUGCUUAACACAUGCAAGUCGAACGGAAAGGCCCUGCUUUUGUGGGGUGCUCGAGUGGCGAACGGGUGAGUAACACGUGAGUAACCUGCCCUUGACUUUGGGAUAACUUCAGGAAACUGGGGCUAAUACCGGAUAGGAGCUCCUGCUGCAUGGUGGGGGUUGGAAAGUUUCGGCGGUUGGGGAUGGACUCGCGGCUUAUCAGCUUGUUGGUGGGGUAGUGGCUUACCAAGGCUUUGACGGGUAGCCGGCCUGAGAGGGUGACCGGCCACAGUGGGACUGAGAUAGGGCCCAGACUCCUACGGGAGGCAGGAGUGGGGAAUAUUGCACAAUGGGCGGAAGCCUGAUGCAGCAACGCCGCGUGGGGAAUGACGGCCUUCGGGUUGUAAACCGCUUUCGCCUGUGACGAAGCGUGAGGGAGGGAAAUGGGGAAAGAAGCACCGGCUAACUACGU